CAUUUGCAUAGUAAUUAGGCUAUGUAAGUUCGGAGUCCCGCGAUUUGUGUGGUUAUAUCGGGGUCUCCAAUUUACAUGCUCUAAUUUAUGCUAAUG
This 96-nucleotide microRNA precursor is filed under the name Retroperitoneal fibromatosis-associated herpesvirus. Its description in RNAcentral is "miRc-RF07". Lineage: Duplodnaviria; Heunggongvirae; Peploviricota; Herviviricetes; Herpesvirales; Orthoherpesviridae. The record is from RNAcentral.